RNAcentral lists this transfer RNA (56 nucleotides) under Hygrobates longiporus. Its description in RNAcentral is "tRNA-Gln". The record is from RNAcentral. Lineage: Eukaryota; Metazoa; Arthropoda; Arachnida; Trombidiformes; Hygrobatidae.
UUACUACUGGUGUAUACGCAUAUCAAAUUUUGAUUUUGAUGGUUUAUUUUAGUAAU